UGAGUUUGAUCAUGGCUCAGGAUGAACGCUGGCGGCGUGCUUAACACAUGCAAGUCGAACGGGGGUCAUUUUGCGGAAGUCUUCGGACGGAAGUGAUUUGACUCGAGUGGCGGACGGGUGAGUAACACGUGAGCAACCUGCCUUUUGCUGGGGAAUAACUGUGGGAAACCAUGGCUAAUACCGCAUGUUGCGCCAACUGGGCAUCCGGUUGGUAUGAAAGGAGAAAUCCGGCAGAAGAUGGGCUCGCGUCCGAUUAGGUAGUUGGUGGGGUAAUGGCUCACCAAGCCAACGAUCGGUAGCCGGACUGAGAGGUCGAACGGCCACAUUGGGACUGAGACACGGCCCAGACUCCUACGGGAGGCAGCAGUGGGGAAUAUUGGGCAAUGGGGGAAACCCUGACCCAGCGACGCCGCGUGAAGGACGAAGGCUUUCGGGUUGUAAACUUCUUUGGGGAGGGACGAAAUUGACGGUACCUCCAGAACAAGCCACGGCUAACUACGUGCCAGCAGCCGCGGUAA
RNAcentral lists this ribosomal RNA (518 nucleotides) under uncultured bacterium. Its description in RNAcentral is "bacterial SSU rRNA". It matches the Rfam family "Bacterial small subunit ribosomal RNA", at positions 1 to 523 of the family's 1533-position model. The record is from RNAcentral.